Small nuclear RNA from Frieseomelitta varia, 190 nucleotides. RefSeq annotates it as U2 spliceosomal RNA. The record is from RefSeq and is a predicted model, not a curated record. NCBI's taxonomy places the organism in Eukaryota, Metazoa, Arthropoda, Insecta, Hymenoptera, Apidae. The transcript has a single exon.
GUCCCACUGGGAACAUGUGCUGCAAUAAAUAAUUAUACCUGUUCUUAUCAGCUUGAUAUCUGAUACACCCUCCACAGGGGGGUCCAGAAUAUUAGCCUGAUUUUUGGGAAUUUGCGGAGGUAGGAGCUUGCUCCACCGCUGCUACGGGUUAGCCCGGCAUUGCAGUGCCGCUGGGAUUAGCCCUACGUAC